RNAcentral lists this ribosomal RNA (407 nucleotides) under Schizophyllum sp. BAB-3689. RNAcentral describes it as "eukaryotic LSU rRNA". The stretch from base 1 to 102 matches the Rfam family "5.8S ribosomal RNA", at positions 53 to 154 of the family's 154-position model. Lineage: Eukaryota; Fungi; Basidiomycota; Agaricomycetes; Agaricales; Schizophyllaceae. The record is from RNAcentral.
AUGCGAUUGCUGGUGUGAAUUGCAGAAUUCAGUGAAUCAUCGAAUCUUUGAACGCACCUUGCGCCCUUUGGUAUUCCGAGGGGCAUGCCUGUUUGAGUGUCAUUAAAUACCAUCAACCCUCUUUUGACUUCGGUCUCGAGAGUGGCUUGGAAGUGGAGGUCUGCUGGAGCCUAACGGAGCCAGCUCCUCUUAAAUGUAUUAGCGGAUUUCCCUUGCGGGAUCGCGUCUCCGAUGUGAUAAUUUCUACGUCGUUGACCAUCUCGGGGCUGACCUAGUCAGUUUCAAUAGGAGUCUGCUUCUAACCGUCUCUUGACUGAGACUAGCGACUUGUGCGCUAACUUUUGACUUGUCCUAUAAAUCUGGUAGGACUGCGCGCUGAACUUAAGCAUAUCAAAAGGCGGGAGGAA